Molecule: small nucleolar RNA, 108 nt
Filed under: Ochotona princeps (American pika)
Lineage: Eukaryota; Metazoa; Chordata; Mammalia; Lagomorpha; Ochotonidae
Source: RNAcentral
UUCUUCUCCAGAUCUCGUUGGGAGGAAGGAUGCACAAAGCUGCUGAGCCAUCCAUUCCAGGCCCAUUUUGUACCCUGGCCAGUGACUGGAAGACACUCUGCAACAAUG